Molecule: ribosomal RNA, 451 nt
Filed under: uncultured bacterium
Lineage: Bacteria
Description: bacterial SSU rRNA
Rfam family: Bacterial small subunit ribosomal RNA
Source: RNAcentral
UCGUCAGCUCGUGUCGUGAGAUGUUGGGUUAAGUCCCGCAACGAGCGCAACCCUUGCCUUUAGUUGCCAGCAUUAAGUUGGGCACUCUAGAGGGACUGCCAGGGAUAACCUGGAGGAAGGUGGGGAUGACGUCAAAUCAUCAUGCCCCUUAUGCUUAGGGCUACACACGUGCUACAAUGGGUGGUACAGAGGGCAGCCAAGUCGUGAGGCGGAGCUAAUCCCUUAAAGCCAUUCUCAGUUCGGAUUGUAGGCUGAAACUCGCCUACAUGAAGCUGGAGUUACUAGUAAUCGCAGAUCAGAAUGCUGCGGUGAAUGCGUUCCCGGGUCUUGUACACACCGCCCGUCACACCAUGGGAGUUGGGGGCGCCCGAAGCCGGAUAGCUAACCUUUUGGAAGCGUCCGUCGAAGGUGAAACCAAUAACUGGGGUGAAGUCGUAACAAGGUAACCGUA